UUCUUAUUGGAUGAUGAUUGUCACGUGUCAUGUUUCAUGUUCUAAUUGGAUGUCAACUCCAUGAAAGAUGAAAUGCAUUGUUGUUUUCAUUGACCAAUCAAAACAUAACACCUGACCGUCAUAAUCC
Non-coding RNA from Glycine soja, 127 nucleotides. The record is from Rfam. NCBI's taxonomy places the organism in Eukaryota, Viridiplantae, Streptophyta, Magnoliopsida, Fabales, Fabaceae.